UGAAAAAACACCACAAAAACACAUGUAUAAUUUAAACUAGCCUAGAAAACUACCGUUGAUCUCCAUCAGUUUGAGCGUGCGCCGAGCAACGCUACGCACCGGCGUGCAAUGCAGGGGACGCACGGCCGGCAGGACGACGGCAUGAUGAGGAUGAGGCCGGCGCGAGGUGGCUCGACAGCGCUAGCGCCGGCGGUUGCUCCGUGCCGCCGUGCGUGCGUGCGCGCGCGCGCUCGCUGGGGGGUGGGGCCGUCCCGUGCUGGCCUUGCCGUCUUGUCGCCUGCCUUGUCGGAACCAUUCCCGGCAACCCGCGAAAACUCCACCACGGAACUCCGCGCGACGCCAGCCUCUCGC
Molecule: long non-coding RNA, 351 nt
Filed under: Oryza brachyantha (malo sina)
Lineage: Eukaryota; Viridiplantae; Streptophyta; Magnoliopsida; Poales; Poaceae
Description: long non-coding RNA (OBRA_LNC000058)
Source: RNAcentral